GGGUCCCAAAAGGGUUCGAGGCCUCUUGCCUUCGCUCCGUAGGAGGGAGUUCUCUUCUGGCCCUGGGGGCCGCAGGAAGAAGACCAGCUACAAGGAAAUACUUCUGAAAAAUCACUCUGAACCCCAAGCUGGAGUGAAUCUUCUCCUGAGCUCUCUCAUUCCAGAAUGGCAAUCUUGUUUCAGGAGAGAUCUCUAAUAGUGACUGAUGGUAAAGGAAGAAGGCUGUGCCUAGAACAAAGAAUCAGGCUGGCAAAGAAAUCACAGGUCUUUCCUCAAACUUUAAAUUGCUACUCUCUGGAGAUAGCUACCUGGACUUUACAGAGCUGUCAGAAGACUUGGGAAGGUUUGCCAGCAUUGGAAAAAGCCACUUGGACUUCACAGAGCUGUCAGAAGACUUAGGAAGCUUUGCCAGUAGUUCCUGAGACCAGAAAUACAUAUUAUGAAGCAGGUGCUGGAACAGGCCCUGGCCCCUACUUGUGAAGCUGCAGAUAUAG
This 494-nucleotide long non-coding RNA is filed under the name Homo sapiens (human). Its description in RNAcentral is "HSALNT0103287". The record is from RNAcentral. Lineage: Eukaryota; Metazoa; Chordata; Mammalia; Primates; Hominidae.